Non-coding RNA from Macaca mulatta (Rhesus monkey), 84 nucleotides. The record is from Rfam. NCBI's taxonomy places the organism in Eukaryota, Metazoa, Chordata, Mammalia, Primates, Cercopithecidae.
UCUUAUUCCGAGCAUUCCAGUAACUUUUUUGUGUAUGUACUUGGCUGUACUAUAAGUAGUUGGUUUGUAUGAGAUGGUUAAAAA